This 199-nucleotide ribosomal RNA is filed under the name uncultured bacterium. RNAcentral describes it as "partial 16S ribosomal RNA". It matches the Rfam family "Bacterial small subunit ribosomal RNA", at positions 328 to 539 of the family's 1533-position model. The record is from RNAcentral.
ACGCUCGACACCUACGGGAGGCAGCAGUGAGGGAUAUUGGUCAAUGGGGGAAACCCUGAACCAGCAACGCCGCGUGAGGGAUGACGGUCUUCGGAUUGUAAACCUCUGUCCUCUGUGAAGAUAAUGACGGUAGCAGAGGAGGAAGCUCCGGCUAACUACGUGCCUGCAGCCGCGGUAAUCUGAGGCGGGCUGGCAAGGC